Molecule: long non-coding RNA, 383 nt
Filed under: Nicotiana benthamiana
Lineage: Eukaryota; Viridiplantae; Streptophyta; Magnoliopsida; Solanales; Solanaceae
Description: long non-coding RNA (NBEN_LNC038204)
Source: RNAcentral
GGGCGACAGAAGGAACCCAAAAGCGAUUUGUUAAGAAAGAUGUUACGAAGAUUUGUGAAGUUCCUAGUAUUGUUGAUGCAGAACUCAGUGGAAAAAUGCCGUGUUUGGUUAUUGGAAAUAUACUCCAUCUUUUGGUCAGCCAGAGACGAGUUUUGGUGGCUUAGGUUGUUGUCAUUUCUGUUGUCUGUGUUAUCUUCAGGGUUGUAAUCCGGAUAUUUUCUUGUGACCCGAACCCUCUCGUCCUUUCAUCUUGUCUAGUUUGUUUAGUCAUGGUGGUUUGUUUAGUAUUGUCUAUUUUGUUUCAGUUUCAUUCUAAGGGUUGUACUCCAGUUUGUUUUGCUUGUUUUUUACUCGAACUGUUUCACUGUUUGUCUAAUAUAAAU